CCUACGGGAGGCUGCAGUGGGGAAUAUUGGGCAAUGGGCGCAAGCCUGACCCAGCAACGCCGCGUGAAGGAAGAAGGCUUUCGGGUUGUAAACUUCUUUUCUCAGGGACGAAGAAAGUGACGGUACCUUAGUAAUAAGCCACGGCUAACUACGUGACAGCAGCCGCGGUAAUACGUAGUGGGCAAGGGUUUUCCGGAUUUAUUGGGUGUAAAGGGCGUGUAUGCGGGAGUGCAAGUCAGAGGUGAAAACUCAGGGCUCAACCCUGAGCCUGCAUUUGAAACUGGGUGUCUGGAGUGCUGGAGAGGUAAUCGGAAUUCCGUGUGAAGCGGUGAAAUGCGUAGAUAUAAGGAGGAACACCAGCGGCGAAGGCGGAUUGCUGGACAGUAACUGACGCUGAGGCGCGAAAGCGUGGGGAGCAAACAGGAUUAGAUACCCGUGUAGUC
RNAcentral lists this ribosomal RNA (443 nucleotides) under uncultured bacterium. Its description in RNAcentral is "partial 16S ribosomal RNA". It matches the Rfam family "Bacterial small subunit ribosomal RNA", at positions 338 to 795 of the family's 1533-position model. The record is from RNAcentral.